Molecule: unclassified non-coding RNA, 262 nt
Filed under: uncultured Actinomycetes bacterium
Lineage: Bacteria; Bacillati; Actinomycetota; Actinomycetes
Description: uncultured actinobacterium contains 16S-23S intergenic spacer region
Source: RNAcentral
UCCGGCUUAACGCCGGCAGUCCCCCCAGAGUCCCCGGCCGACCCUUUCGGGCGACUACUGCCAACAUGUCAAGCCCUGGUAAGGUUCUUCGCUUUGCAUCGAAUUAAGCCACGCGCUCCGCCGCUUGUGCGGGCCCCCGUCAAUUCCUUUGAGUUUUAGCCUUGCGGCCGUACUCCCCAGGCGGGGUGCUUAAUGCGUUAGCUGCGGCACGGAAGUCUUGCGACCCCCACACCUAGCACCCACCGUUUACGGCUAGGACUAC